AAUGGAUGAUGUAAAUCCAAAGACUUUGGGCACUCUGUCCUCUGUCCCUAUAAAACCCCUUCCAGCCAAACAAAACUAUGCCUGUUGGACAGGUGAAGAGGAGAAAAGUCGUGUCACAGGCACUACAGAGAGCUCUGAAACUCACCUCUCCACCAGAGCCCAGCAAGGUCCCAUUGGUGGCUGUGGUGUAUUCUGGGGGCGGGACCAGAGCAAUGACUGGCACAUAUGGGAGCCUCAGAGCACUGCAGAAACUCCAACUCCAUGAUGAAGUCAGUUACAUCAUAGGAGUUCCUGGCUCCACCUGACAAAAAUGGUUUCAUUGUCUGACCAGCAGAGGGCAUUAUCAAAGGACCAGAACCCUCUUCCCAUCUACACAGUUCUCAACAUGA
Long non-coding RNA from Myxocyprinus asiaticus (Chinese sucker), 389 nucleotides. RefSeq lists it as uncharacterized. Lineage: Eukaryota; Metazoa; Chordata; Actinopteri; Cypriniformes; Catostomidae. The transcript has 4 exons. The record is from RefSeq and is a predicted model, not a curated record.